RNAcentral lists this long non-coding RNA (712 nucleotides) under Anser brachyrhynchus (Pink-footed goose). Its description in RNAcentral is "lncRNA (ENSABRG00000014965.1)". The record is from RNAcentral. Lineage: Eukaryota; Metazoa; Chordata; Aves; Anseriformes; Anatidae.
CACAGGCACUUUGUAUGAAUAAGAAAAUCUCUUCUAACUUAAUGUAGAGAGCAAGAAUUGCCAAGCUGCUAGAGGAGAAGACGGAUUUCCAAGGAUUAAAAACAAACAAACAAACUGCAUAACAGCUGAGCUUUAAAGAAAAUUGUCUGAUCUGUUUUUUUCAGUAACGGGGUUACAGGCACCUUUUCCUAUGAAAAGAGGAAGAGAAAUGAAAAACAGCCCAGAAGAGUUUUUGAGGGACAUACUCUGCUUCUCCUCAUUUUUUGGGCAGGAGUGCUUCCUGGAGCUGUGAAGGAGGGAGAUGAUGUGUUUUCCCUAGCUGAGGGAGGAUCCCCAGGAGAUCAUACCAGCACUGACCAUGGAUAGGAACAACUCAGGGACAGCUCAGCAUCAUCUGCCCUUCCCUUUGCAUCAAGCUGGUGGAUACUGUGGCUGCAGAUAUAAAGCAAGCACUUUAGGAUUUCAUACAAGUGUCAGGAUGAGGAUUCAGAACAAGCACCCAGGGAAGACUUUUAAUUUUGAAAAAUGUGGAAGGGUUACCUGAGCAAUGGUUCAGGAGAAGACUCUAACCAGGGCAUCUCAAUGGCAUUUACUCUGCAGAGAAAGGGUGAAGUUUUCCCCCUGCUUCACUGAAUAGCUUUAAUACUGGUGUGUAGCUUAGCUAAGGAAAAAGAGAGUUCCUGUCACUCAAAAUAGUACUCUAAUCAUUGAG